UGCCUAAUACAUGCAAGUCGAGCGCGAAAGUUCCUUCGGGGAUGAGUAGAGCGGCGGACGGGUGAGUAACACGUGGAUAAUCUGCCUUUAGGACUGGGAUAACCCUGGGAAACUAGGGCUAAUACCGGAUAAGACCACAGGUUCCAUGGAACCAGGGGUAAAAGGCGGCCUUCGGGCUGUCGCCGAAAGAUGAGUCCGCGUCCCAUCAGGUAGUUGGUGAGGUAACGGCUCACCAAGCCGAAGACGGGUAGCCGACCUUAGCGGGUGAUCGGCCACACGGGGACUGAGACACGGCCCCGACUCCUACGGGAGGCAGCAGUGGGGAAUCUUGGGCAAUGGGCGCAAGCCUGACCCAGCAAUACCGCGUGAGGGAUGAAGGCCUUCGGGUCGUAAACCUCUGUCAGUAGGAACGAUGGGUCUCCGGGCUAAUAUCCCGGAGACUUGACGGUACUUACAAAGGAAGCCCCGGCUAACUACGUGCCAGCAGCCGCGGUAAUACGUAGGGGGCAAGCGUUGUCCGGAAUUAUUGGGCGUAAAGCGCGCGCAGGCGGUCAUUUAAGUCUGGUGUUUAAUCCCGGGGCUCAACCCCGGAUCGCACUGGAAACUGGGUGACUUGAGUGCAGAAGAGGAGAGUGGAAUUCCACGUGUAGCGGUGAAAUGCGUAGAUAUGUGGAGGAACACCAGUGGCGAAGGCGACUCUCUGGGCUGUAACUGACGCUGAGGCGCGAAAGCGUGGGGAGCAAACAGGAUUAGAUACCCUGGUAGUCCACGCCGUAAACGAUGAGUGCUAGGUGUUAGGGGUUUCGAUACCCUUGGUGCCGAAGUUAACACAUUAAGCACUCCGCCUGGGGAGUACGGUCGCAAGACUGAAACUCAAAGGAAUUGACGGGGACCCGCACAAGCAGUGGAGUAUGUGGUUUAAUUCGAAGCAACGCGAAGAACCUUACCAGGUCUUGACAUCCUCUGACAACCCUAGAGAUAGGGCGUUCCCCUUCGGGGGACAGAGUGACAGGUGGUGCAUGGUUGUCGUCAGCUCGUGUCGUGAGAUGUUGGGUUAAGUCCCGCAACGAGCGCAACCCUUGAUCUUAGUUGCCAGCAUUCAGUUGGGCACUCUAAGGUGACUGCCGGUGACAAACCGGAGGAAGGUGGGGAUGACGUCAAAUCAUCAUGCCCCUUAUGACCUGGGCUACACACGUGCUACAAUGGACGGUACAAAGGGCAGCAAAACCGCGAGGUCGAGCCAAUCCCAUAAAACCGUUCUCAGUUCGGAUUGCAGGCUGCAACUCGCCUGCAUGAAGCCGGAAUCGCUAGUAAUCGCGGAUCAGCUAUGCCGCGGUGAAUACGUUCCCGGGCCUUGCACACACUGCCCGUCACA
RNAcentral lists this ribosomal RNA (1375 nucleotides) under uncultured bacterium. RNAcentral's name for it is "partial 16S ribosomal RNA". It matches the Rfam family "Bacterial small subunit ribosomal RNA", at positions 45 to 1401 of the family's 1533-position model. The record is from RNAcentral.